GCUCUCGUAGCUCAGUGGAUAGAGCACUUGCUUGCGGAGCAAGGGGUCGUGUGUUCGAGUCGCACCGAGAGCG
Molecule: transfer RNA, 73 nt
Filed under: Anaerolineales bacterium
Lineage: Bacteria; Bacillati; Chloroflexota; Anaerolineae; Anaerolineales
Description: tRNA-Arg
Rfam family: tRNA
About the family: Transfer RNA (tRNA) molecules are approximately 80 nucleotides in length. Their secondary structure includes four short double-helical elements and three loops (D, anti-codon, and T loops).
Source: RNAcentral